This 570-nucleotide ribosomal RNA is filed under the name Enterobacterales bacterium. RNAcentral's name for it is "bacterial SSU rRNA". It matches the Rfam family "Bacterial small subunit ribosomal RNA", at positions 832 to 1402 of the family's 1533-position model. Lineage: Bacteria; Pseudomonadati; Pseudomonadota; Gammaproteobacteria; Enterobacterales. The record is from RNAcentral.
UUGAGGAGUGGCUUCCGGAGCUAACGCGUUAAGUCGACCGCCUGGGGAGUACGGCCGCAAGGUUAAAACUCAAAUGAAUUGACGGGGGCCCGCACAAGCGGUGGAGCAUGUGGUUUAAUUCGAUGCAACGCGAAGAACCUUACCUACUCUUGACAUCCAGAGAACUUAGCAGAGAUGCUUUGGUGCCUUCGGGAACUCUGAGACAGGUGCUGCAUGGCUGUCGUCAGCUCGUGUUGUGAAAUGUUGGGUUAAGUCCCGCAACGAGCGCAACCCUUAUCCUUUGUUGCCAGCGGUUCGGCCGGGAACUCAAAGGAGACUGCCAGUGAUAAACUGGAGGAAGGUGGGGAUGACGUCAAGUCAUCAUGGCCCUUACGAGUAGGGCUACACACGUGCUACAAUGGCGCAUACAAAGAGAAGCGACCUCGCGAGAGCAAGCGGACCUCAUAAAGUGCGUCGUAGUCCGGAUUGGAGUCUGCAACUCGACUCCAUGAAGUCGGAAUCGCUAGUAAUCGUAGAUCAGAAUGCUACGGUGAAUACGUUCCCGGGCCUUGCACUCACCGCCCGUCAAAA